Molecule: long non-coding RNA, 551 nt
Filed under: Phoenix dactylifera (date palm)
Lineage: Eukaryota; Viridiplantae; Streptophyta; Magnoliopsida; Arecales; Arecaceae
Description: long non-coding RNA (PDAC_LNC010231)
Source: RNAcentral
UUGUAUAUGCAUAUUUAGAUCGGAUUAUGAUAUAUUUAUUAUGUUACAAAAGAAUUUUGAUGUGCAUCAGAUUUAGAACUCUCAGCCUGGCUAUGUUCUGGACCCUGCCAAUAGUGGGUUAUGCAUUGGCAAUUCUGGCCCCACCAUAGGAUAUAAGUGUGGUAUUCUGGCCCACUCCGCAGGGUAUAAGUGCAGUAUUCUGGCCCACUCCGCAGGGUAUAAGUGCGGUUCUGUUUCUGGCCUAGCCACAGGGUAUAAGUGUGGUCGUAGCUAAAGGCUGAUGAGAUGAAUGUGAUUUAUUUCGAAUCAGAUUUAUGAUUAUGUAUGUGGAUAUUUGAAAGAUACGGAUUUCAAUGAAUUUGUGCUUGAAAAGGAAUUGAUUAUGUUAUUAUGUUGAUUCAUCGUAAUUUGUAUUUAUAUUUUAUCUUAUUAUAUGAAUUGACUAGUUAAGGUGUUUAUUACUUACUGGGCUGUCUAGCUCAUUAUACGAUUUCUUACUGUUUUUACAGAUCCGAAGAAUUAGCUCGAUCCGGGGUUUUACAAUAUGGGAG